AAUUAUAUUUAAUCUGUAACUGUCACAUUAAAAUUUUAUCUUGUUAACCUGCGUUUCGUGCUGUUGAUAUAUUUCAAAUAUAUUACAAAAGUGAACACGAAAAUGGUUAUCAUACAACAAAUUUCGGCGCUUCUCGACUUCUUAGAGAGCCAGCCAGAGCUAGCGCUCGGCCAUUGCAGCCGCACAAGUGAAGGGCGCAGCUUCGCAAAGCGGCGUUGGGUGGAGUGCGCUCAGAUUUUAAAUUCAGUCGGGGCAGAUUGCCCCAAUAAAUCUCCCAUGGAAUGGCGAGCCGUAAGUAAUGAAAACUUGCACCGUCUAUGUUUGAUAUUUUUCUAACUAUGAUAUAAAGUCUAAACACUACUUUAAUGCUGUUCUUUUUUUUUAGUUUUAUAAUGAAUAUAAGUGCAAAUUGGUUAAAAAAAUUAAAUUAAAAAAGCGAGAACUGAGCGCUACAGGAUAUUAGACAGUUAUUGUGUCACAUCAGCUAGUGCAGAUAUGGUGCCUGGUAGUGACACCAAUAAUGUUGAUUCUGCAUAUAAUGCAGAAUCACAAGUAAUAAGCUUAGACCAUGAACCGUUGAUAGAGCAGAAUAUUAAUAAUUUUGAGUUAGAUGAAGAACAAACACCAUCCAUCAUUCGGACUCCGCCUUUAAAAAAAUCUAGCCAACAAUCAAGGAAACGUCGUCCAAGAUAUUACCCAACAGAAGAUAGAGCUUUAAAAGAUUCUCAAGCCAAACUCCUAGAAAUAGAGGCCAAGAAUGCCGAGGCCACUUUGGCACAUGCUCAGGCCACUAAUAACUUGGCUGCAGCCAUUGAUAGAUUAGGACAAGUUACCAAUGAAUCUUCCAGUAGGCUGGCUGCAGCCAUAGAAAAAAUUGGGGACAUGAUUGGCAUCUUUGCCUCAGCUUCAUCAAAGAAGGUUCUUUUUUUAUUUUGUUCAAUUAAACCCAAAAUGGCCAUUGGCCAUAUAUACUUGGGUCAGCGAGGUCGGAGAGAUUUAUUUUUAAAAACAAUUAGUGGUAAUGUAAAAGUUCUAAUUAUUUUUCCAGAAACGUAGGAAGAUCGUUUUGACAUCAGAUUCAGAGUCAGACUGAAGAAAAUAAAUCUUUUGUGUCAGUUGGUUGACAAGAGCCUGCUGCAGUGACCGACCUUCAAGAAGACCCUGAUUCACUCGUUGAUGUCUCUGUGAAUUGAGUCCUUCAAUAGAACUUUC
This is an RNA transcript of Pararge aegeria (speckled wood butterfly), 1212 nucleotides long. RefSeq lists it as uncharacterized. The transcript is spliced from 5 exons. Lineage: Eukaryota; Metazoa; Arthropoda; Insecta; Lepidoptera; Nymphalidae. The record is from RefSeq and is a predicted model, not a curated record.